Molecule: long non-coding RNA, 267 nt
Organism: Symphalangus syndactylus (siamang)
Lineage: Eukaryota; Metazoa; Chordata; Mammalia; Primates; Hylobatidae
Source: RefSeq, a predicted model, not a curated record
GGCACAGUGAAGGAGGCACCAGGGGCCUGUCUUCCUCGAAGGCUGUAGGGUGUGAAUCCACAUGGCCUCGGCUUACCCUGGCCACACUGCAGGGCCAGGGUCAUCCUGUACUAGCCUGGCAGAAUUGUCCAGAGGUGCCUAGGAAAACACUGGGUGGUUACCGGGAAGGCAGCUGGUAUGUCAUCAUGACACUGCUGUCCGCAUCUGCCAUCAGCAGCCAGAUGGGAUCCUGCAGGACGCACUUAAUGAAACGCUCACUUUCUUCCA